Molecule: RNase MRP RNA, 332 nt
Filed under: Saccharomyces uvarum
Lineage: Eukaryota; Fungi; Ascomycota; Saccharomycetes; Saccharomycetales; Saccharomycetaceae
Description: partial RNase MRP RNA
Rfam family: RNase MRP
About the family: RNase MRP is an enzymatically active ribonucleoprotein with two distinct roles in eukaryotes. In mitochondria it plays a direct role in the initiation of mitochondrial DNA replication.
Source: RNAcentral
AAUCCAUGACCGAAGAAUCGUCACUUAUCGAAGCUUACACAAAGAGUCUAUUAGAUUCAAAUUAUGCUUUGGGCUGAAAGUCUCCCACCUGUUCAUAUGCGGAAAACGUAAUGAGAUUUAAAAAUUUUUAAAUUCUUUAAAUCAACUCAUUAGGUUGGUCCUUUUUGGAUCAAUCUGCUGACCUAGGAUUCACUUUGUUGAUUUCCUAGUGUUUUCUUCGGUAUAGAAAUGUUUUUACAUUUCAAACCAUAGUUAUGACGAUUGCUUUUAUCCUUUUCUUUUGAUUGGAUGAAGUAACCCAAUGGAGCUUACUAUUGGUCCAUGGAUUCACC